This 253-nucleotide ribosomal RNA is filed under the name uncultured bacterium. RNAcentral describes it as "partial 16S ribosomal RNA". It matches the Rfam family "Bacterial small subunit ribosomal RNA", at positions 524 to 776 of the family's 1533-position model. The record is from RNAcentral.
UACGUAGGGGGCAAGCGUUAUCCGGAUUUACUGGGUGUAAAGGGAGCGUAGACGGCCUUGCAAGUCUGGUGUGAAAGCCCGGGGCUCAACCCCGGGACUGCAUUGGAAACUGCAUGGCUGGAGUGCAGGAGAGGUAAGCGGAAUUCCUAGUGUAGCGGUGAAAUGCGUAGAUAUUAGGAGGAACACCAGUGGCGAAGGCGGCCUACUGGACGGUGACUGACGCUGAGGCUCGAAAGCGUGGGGAGCAAACAGG